This is a long non-coding RNA of Quercus lobata, 933 nucleotides long. RefSeq lists it as uncharacterized. Lineage: Eukaryota; Viridiplantae; Streptophyta; Magnoliopsida; Fagales; Fagaceae. The transcript has 3 exons. The record is from RefSeq and is a predicted model, not a curated record.
CACCUGCCGCUCCUCUCUCAUCUCUAUUUCUCUACCCUCUCCUUCCCAAAAACCCAACACUGAAAAUCAAUCUCACCAAGAAGCCAUCCCCAUGCUGUUUGGUCCAAAAUCAAAAGAAGGCAUCAUUGAUCUUUCCAUGGUGCUACUCACAAGGACCGAUCUCCACCUUUGAGCGCUGACGAUAGCCAUCAAAAUUGGGCAGAUUACAUCAGAUGGUUGAAUUAGAACUUUGUUUCAGAAAAUUAGGAUCCGAAGACCCUCACACAGAUGAUGAAACCUUUGGAUUGGUGAUCUCUUCAAGCCUCACAAAACCUUGAUACAAUGCAAGGUUACACUUACAUCAUUAGUUGAAGGAGUGGUGUUCCUUUGCAAAGCAGCCAACAAAUAUAAAGUUAUCAACUUCAUUUUCUUUUGUUCUUCCAUGAAGAUGAGGGUGAUGCAUGUUCACAAAGCUUGAUGUGCAGGUUUAAAGAAAAGAGAUGACUAUAUGAGAUUGUAGAAGGAGAAUGUUUGGAUCUAGAUUGUCAUAGCAUUGAGCACCCUUGAUAGCUAUUGCGGUUGCUAUUGACUUCUAUGUAAAUUAAAUGCCUACAACAAAUAGAGAUGUGGCAAUAGUGUUUAUUGGAAUUCUUUUGACAGUAUUUGAUCUACAAAAUACAUUAGAGCGAAAAGUGAAUUUAUGUAGUGAGACUAAUUUACAAUUAAUAUGAAGUGUGUUUUCAUUGUUUCAAAAUUGAAUUUGGAUUUUGACUUUGAGCCAAGUAAACAUACAAAGGUUGCAAUCCUUUGCAAAUAGAUUUUCCAUUAUCUUAUUGUUGCUUUAGUUUUCAACAUUAUUUUCUAAAAAAAAAUAGUUAUUUCUUUCUUUCUUUUUCAAUGUCUUUUUUCUUUUUUUUUCUUUCCUUUUUAGCUUUUUCUAGGUGGGCAAAUCAA